GUAACCCAGAGUAAAAUCUGUUUUACUAGCAUUUAGCAAUUUCCUGCACUUAUUUCCUGCCAUUGAACACAUCACCAAUACAUGACUCCAACCACAUGACUUUGCUCAGCCAAUCGGAUGGCAUGUAGGUCAUAGUAAGCCUGUCCCGGCUUCCUCCCGUCAGAUGCGUGGAGGCAAGCCAGGUGACAGAGCUGUUGCAGACGCUGAUUACUGUGAGCCAGAGCCAUAGUGUUGUUGUGCACUGAACAGAACGGAAUUGGCCAGGUGACCCUUUUUGGGUAUGAAAAAGGAUGGCGAGCCAAUGAACGGCUAGGAGCAGGACUCAUUCUGCAUUUUAGCUUCCACUGGACUGGUAGGAAGCUAUCAAAGACGACGCUCUGUCCCCAUUUCCCAAACACACUGAUUUCCACAAUCAUACACACCAUUCCCCCCGUUUAUGGACAAUAGCGCUUGGACAUCUCUCAUGGACAUUCAGAUGAAACUCAUGGACUUCAGUGUGGAUCAGUGGUUUGGAUGUUAACAUGUGUUACUUAUGGGGAACUGUUUUUUGUUUUUGAGAAUCUAUAUUGCUUGGUAUAAGCCAUAAGCCUGAAGAAUUUGCUUAGUUGUCUUUGCAUCCCCACUGGGUUUUUGAUUUAUUGAAUAGCUGCAGCAGGAAUGAUUAUUUAAGUUUUCCUUAUCUUUUCUUGUUAUUUUCGGUUAAAUACAUGGUACCUGCAAAA
Oreochromis aureus is the source of this 722-nucleotide long non-coding RNA. RefSeq lists it as uncharacterized. The record is from RefSeq and is a predicted model, not a curated record. Lineage: Eukaryota; Metazoa; Chordata; Actinopteri; Cichliformes; Cichlidae. The transcript is spliced from 3 exons.